GACGAACGCUGGCGGCGUGCCUAAUACAUGCAAGUCGAACGCAGUGGGGACGGGUGAGUAACACGUGGGUAACCUCCCAUCAGAGGGGAGAAAAGUUGGAAACAGGUGCUAAACUGAAACAGAUGGAUGAACCAGUGUGGCAUUAGCUUGUUGGGGAGGUAACGGCCCACCAAGGCUACGAGGCAUAACCUGACUGAGAGGGUGACCAGCCACACUGGGACUGAGACACGGCCCAGACUCCUACGGGAGUCAGCAGUAGGGAAUCUUCGGCAAUGGACGAAAGCCUGACCGAGCAACGCCGCGUGUGUGAAGAAGGUUUUCGGAUCGUAAAGCUCUGUUGUUAGGGAAGCGGUAUCUAACCAGAAAGCCACGGCUAACUACGUGCCAGCAGCCGCGGUAAUUC
RNAcentral lists this ribosomal RNA (403 nucleotides) under uncultured bacterium. RNAcentral describes it as "partial 16S ribosomal RNA". It matches the Rfam family "Bacterial small subunit ribosomal RNA", at positions 28 to 526 of the family's 1533-position model. The record is from RNAcentral.